This 531-nucleotide ribosomal RNA is filed under the name Triticum aestivum (bread wheat). Its description in RNAcentral is "partial small subunit ribosomal RNA". Lineage: Eukaryota; Viridiplantae; Streptophyta; Magnoliopsida; Poales; Poaceae. The record is from RNAcentral.
AUGGAUAACACUAAUUUGUCAUCUUCCCUGAACUUGGAGCAGAGGGCCGCAUACGAUGAGAUACUGGCGGUUGUUGAACACGGUGAUGGGGGUGUAUUCUUUGUUGAUGGCCCUGGAGGUACAGGGAAGACCUUCUUAUACAGGGCGAUGCUUGCCAAGGUGAGGAGCGAGGGAAAGAUUGGUAUGGCUACCGCGACAUCGGGCGUCGCUGCUUCUAUAAUGCCUGGCGGCAGGACUGCCCACUCGAGGUUCAAGAUACCACUGAGUUGCGAUGAUGGUGCCUCGCGUAGCUUCACCAAGCGGAGUGGGACUGCCAAGCUGCUUAGGAUGGCCUCAUUGAUAAUAUGGGACAAGGCCAGCAAGACGAAGCGACAAGCGGUUGAGGCAUUGGACAAUAGCAUGCGUGACAUCAUGGGAAUACGCGACCGACCCUUUGGAGGAAAGACUGUUGUUUUUGGCGGGGACUUUAGGCAGGUGCUUCCGGUUGUCAGAAGGGGGUCGCAGGGCCAGAUAAUUGAUGCAACACUCUGA